Hevea brasiliensis (rubber tree) is the source of this 630-nucleotide long non-coding RNA. RefSeq lists it as uncharacterized. Lineage: Eukaryota; Viridiplantae; Streptophyta; Magnoliopsida; Malpighiales; Euphorbiaceae. The transcript is spliced from 3 exons. The record is from RefSeq and is a predicted model, not a curated record.
UUUCUUCCUUCCCCUCCAUAAAUUAACCCAAUAUCUCUUUGGUUUUCCUUUCUUCAACUGACGAAUAUGGUCUCCAUUCCCAGGCGAGCUGCUGAGCUCAGCUCCAGCGGCAAAAUAGUUCGAGCCGGUCAAACCACUGCUCCCAGGACUCUUAUGAGCGUCCUCCUUCAUUACUGCCCAAUUUAUUCUUGAGACCCAUUCAGUUCCUACUUGUACGAGUGCUACUGGUGGCGGUAAAGUUCUCUCCUCUGUCUUCGACGCAGCCUCUUGCGGUGGCGAUUUCACUUCUGGAGUGGAGCCUUGCUAAUUGUUUGUAAUGACAUGCAGAGUGGGAUGAUGGGAAAGAAACUCCUCAUGGAGAUAGUCAUAAUAAUAAAAGCCAGCGCCAUCAUUAUUCACCAUCCCCAAUGUUUGUUGGAGCCUCACCUGAUGCACGAUUAGUAUCCCCGUGGUUGGGCAGCCAUACAACUUCUUCUAUUGGUUCUACUGCUUCUCCAUGGGAUCAGUUUGCUCCCUCUCCAAUUCCCAUUCGUGCCUCUGGAUCUUCAGCUAAUUCUUCUAGUUCUAGGCAUGGUGGGAAGUCCCAUCAACUUACUUUCUCCUCUGCAAGGUCACAUCAUUAGAGUUAAU